This 406-nucleotide ribosomal RNA is filed under the name uncultured bacterium. RNAcentral describes it as "partial 16S ribosomal RNA". It matches the Rfam family "Bacterial small subunit ribosomal RNA", at positions 30 to 526 of the family's 1533-position model. The record is from RNAcentral.
AUUGAACGCUGGCGGCAGGCCUAACACAUGCAAGUCGAGCGAGCGGCGGACGGGUGAGUAAUGUAUGGGGAUCUGCCUGAUGGAGGGGGAUAACUACUGGAAACGGUAGCUAAUACCGCAUACCAUCAGAUGAACCCAUAUGGGAUUAGCUUGUGGGUGGGGUAACGGCUCACCUAGGCGACGAUCCCUAGCUGGUCUGAGAGGAUGAUCAGCCAAACUGGGACUGAGACACGGCCCAGACUCCUACGGGAGGCAGCAGGGGGGAAUAUUGCACAAUGGGCGCAAGCCUGAUGCAGCCAUGCCGCGUGUAUGAAGAAGGCCUUAGGGUUGUAAAGUACUUUCAGCGGGGAGGCGUUACCGACAGAAGAAGCACCGGCUAACUCCGUGCCAGCAGCCGCGGUAAUUC